GACGAACGCUGGCGGCGCGCUUAACACAUGCAAGUCGAGCGAUGAAAUCUUGACAGAACCCUUCGGGGUGAAGAUAAGAUGGAUUAGCGGCGGACGGGUGAGUAACACGUGAGUAACCUGCCUUAGACAUUGGGAUAGCCUCGGGAAACCGGGAUUAAUACCAAAUGAAAUCACAUAUGCACAUGCAUAAAUGAUCAAAGCUCCGGCGGUCUAAGAUGGACUCGCGUCCCAUUAGCUAGUUGGUGAGGUAACGGCCCACCAAGGCGACGAUGGGUAGCCGGCCUGAGAGGGUGAACGGCCACAUUGGAACUGAGAAACGGUCCAAACUCCUACGGGAGGCAGCAGUGGGGAAUAUUGCACAAUGGAGGGAACUCUGAUGCAGCGACGCCGCGUGAACGAAGAAGGCUUUCGAGUCGUAAAGUUCUUUUAUAUGGGAAGAUAAUGACGGUACCAUAAGAAAAAGCCCCGGCUAACUACGUGCCAGCAGCCGCGGUAAUACGUAGGGGGCUAGCGUUGUCCGGAAUCACUGGGCGUAAAGGGUUCGCAGGCGGAAAUGCAAGUCAGGUGUAAAAGGCAGUAGCUUAACUACUGUAAGCAUUUGAAACUGCAUAUCUUGAGAAGAGUAGAGGUAAGUGGAAUUUUUAGUGUAGCGGUGAAAUGCGUAGAUAUUAAAAAAGAAUACCGGUGGCGAAGGCGACUUUACUGGGCUCAUUCUGACGCUGAGGAACGAAAGCGUGGGUAGCAAACAGG
RNAcentral lists this ribosomal RNA (750 nucleotides) under uncultured Peptoniphilus sp. Its description in RNAcentral is "bacterial SSU rRNA". It matches the Rfam family "Bacterial small subunit ribosomal RNA", at positions 28 to 776 of the family's 1533-position model. Lineage: Bacteria; Bacillati; Bacillota; Tissierellia; Tissierellales; Peptoniphilaceae. The record is from RNAcentral.